UUUACCUUUAAUACGGUCCAGAGAGGCCGAAAAGGGUGGCAAGCGUAAAACAAGUAUGUAAUCUUUUUUUGUCUAUCUAUGCCCUUUUGUCCUCUGUGACCAAAGGGCAUUUUUGU
This is a non-coding RNA of Bacillus sp. SA1-12, 116 nucleotides long. The record is from Rfam. NCBI's taxonomy places the organism in Bacteria, Bacillati, Bacillota, Bacilli, Caryophanales, Bacillaceae.